UCGCCAACGAAACUCGAAGCCUUUAUGGUGGCUUCGAGACAACAAUCAGGUCCGAAGAAAUGAGGAUUCCACCCCUGCGGUCCGCCGUCAAGAUGGGAUCUGAUGUUAGCCCUGAUAGUUCGGUGACACUCGGUCGACGGGUGUCCUCGAACACCCUUCGAUAGCGACCACACCCAUUAUAUGGGUGUGAUCCCGCCUAACCCCCCGGCAUUGUGCCGGGAUACAUUCCGGUUGAUCCUGCCGGAGGCCAUUGCUAUCGGAGUCCGAUUUAGCCAUGCUAGUCGCACGGGCUUAGACCCGUGGCAUAUAGCUCAGUAACACGUGGCCAAACUACCCUACAGACCGCGAUAACCUCGGGAAACUGAGGCCAAUAGCGGAUAUAACUCUCAGGCUGGAGUGCAGAGAGUUAGAAACGUUCCGGCGCUGUAGGAUGUGGCUGCGGCCGAUUAGGUAGAUGGUGGGGUAACGGCCCACCAUGCCGAUAAUCGGUACGGGUUGUGAGAGCAAGAACCCGGAGACGGUAUCUGAGACAAGAUACCGGGCCCUACGGGGCGCAGCAGGCGCGAAACCUUUACACUGCACGACAGUGCGAUAGGGGGACUCCGAGUGCGAGGGCAUAUAGCCCUCGCUUUUCUGUACCGUAAGGUGGUACAGGAACAAGGACUGGGCAAGACCGGUGCCAGCCGCCGCGGUAAUACCGGCAGUCCGAGUGAUGGCCGAUAUUAUUGGGCCUAAAGCGUCCGUAGCCGGCCGGACAAGUCCGUUGGGAAAUCGACGCGCUCAACGCGUCGGCGUCCAGCGGAAACUGUCCGGCUUGGGGCCGGAAGACCUGAGGGGUACGUCCGGGGUAGGAGUGAAAUCCUGUAAUCCUGGACGGACCACCAAUGGGGAAACCACCUCAGGGAAGACGGACC
This 914-nucleotide ribosomal RNA is filed under the name Haloarcula sp. TN8. RNAcentral describes it as "bacterial SSU rRNA". The stretch from base 225 to 914 matches the Rfam family "Archaeal small subunit ribosomal RNA", at positions 1 to 691 of the family's 1478-position model. The record is from RNAcentral. Lineage: Archaea; Methanobacteriati; Methanobacteriota; Halobacteria; Halobacteriales; Haloarculaceae.